GGUGGAAUGGCUGAGUGUUAGGCGGCGGCCUGUAGUUCCGUUUGACAGAGGUUCAAUUCCUCUUUCCACCA
RNAcentral lists this transfer RNA (71 nucleotides) under Pomadasys kaakan (javelin grunt). RNAcentral describes it as "tRNA-Tyr". It matches the Rfam family "tRNA". From Rfam's summary of the family: Transfer RNA (tRNA) molecules are approximately 80 nucleotides in length. Lineage: Eukaryota; Metazoa; Chordata; Actinopteri; Lutjaniformes; Haemulidae. The record is from RNAcentral.